GCAGGAUCUCUUCUCCCUUCGAACCCCUUCCAAUUUCUAUUCUUUCUAAAGCAAGUAAGCAACACUACAUCUUGUCAGACGUGCGGCUGCACAUAACGAGGGAAUGUUGUGUCAAGCUUGGGGAUGUCUGGAUAAGAUGGCUUGUGUUUCAAGGUCUUGUGUUCUUCCAAAUUAAUUGUAUAUUGUGUUCUUGUAAAACUGUUUCUCACUAUUAAUUUGGAUACAUGUGUUUGUUGGGGUUCUGUAUGCAGAGCUAAUGAUCGAGAAGAAAUCUUUAUUACCAAAGCUGAUUCAGUACAAUGGUGUCGAAGGGGGACUUCCUUAGCUUCUUCAACAGAUCAGGACAACAGAUUAGGAAAUUGAGAUA
Molecule: long non-coding RNA, 367 nt
Filed under: Salvia miltiorrhiza (redroot sage)
Lineage: Eukaryota; Viridiplantae; Streptophyta; Magnoliopsida; Lamiales; Lamiaceae
Description: long non-coding RNA (SMIL_LNC008515)
Source: RNAcentral